Long non-coding RNA from Stomoxys calcitrans (stable fly), 242 nucleotides. RefSeq lists it as uncharacterized. The record is from RefSeq and is a predicted model, not a curated record. The transcript is spliced from 2 exons. Lineage: Eukaryota; Metazoa; Arthropoda; Insecta; Diptera; Muscidae.
UAGUAGACUUGCUUAACUGUUUCACAUAACUUCACUUCACAUAAAGCAUUAAAAUGAAUUUAAUGGCUCUGGCAUGUAAUAUUGUGGUGAUGACUAUCUCCUGGUUGACUAUUCAGACUGCAGCGGUUCCCAUUGUGAAUGUUAACCCGCCACCUUUUAAUCCCGUGGAUGCCCCUCACACUUGGCAGCUUUUCUCAUGAAAUGAAAUGAUAUUAACAAAAUAAAAACUAUUUAUAAGGUAA